AAGUCGUAACAAGGUUUUCGUAGGUGAACCUGCGGAAGGAUCAUUAGUGAAUCAUCGGAUUCCUCUGCAAAGAGAAGGUCCGGAUCUACUACCACACACACUUGUGCACUUGUCACUUUUUACAAUUCAUUUUGUAUAACACUUUUGCAUUGAAACCAGUCUUUAGAAAAAAAAGUGAUAAAGAAAGAAAAACUUUCAGCAAUGGAUCUCUUGGUUCUG
Molecule: unclassified non-coding RNA, 219 nt
Filed under: Ballistosporomyces sp.
Lineage: Eukaryota; Fungi; Basidiomycota; Agaricostilbomycetes; Agaricostilbales; Chionosphaeraceae
Description: partial internal transcribed spacer region
Rfam family: Eukaryotic small subunit ribosomal RNA (bases 1-46)
Source: RNAcentral